Molecule: RNase P RNA, 358 nt
Filed under: Bifidobacterium magnum
Lineage: Bacteria; Bacillati; Actinomycetota; Actinomycetes; Bifidobacteriales; Bifidobacteriaceae
Description: Bacterial RNase P class A
Rfam family: Bacterial RNase P class A
About the family: Ribonuclease P (RNase P) is a ubiquitous endoribonuclease, found in archaea, bacteria and eukarya as well as chloroplasts and mitochondria. Its best characterised activity is the generation of mature 5'-ends of tRNAs by cleaving the 5'-leader elements of precursor-tRNAs.
Source: Rfam by way of RNAcentral
UGAGAUCCCUUGAUGGCCGCGUUUCCCUAGGGAAAUGAGGAACUUCCGGGCUCCAUAGAGCACGAUGGCGGAUAACGUCCGCCCAGGGCGACCUGAGAGAUAGCGCAACAGAGAACAGACCGCCUGCGCCUCGUGUGCGGGUAAGGGUGAAACGGCGGUGUAAGAGACCACCGGAAUGCUGGUGACGGCGUUCGCAUGGCAAGCCUCAUCGGGAGCAAAGCCAAGUAGAAGGCAGGGCUGCUCGCCCAUAUGCCUUCGGGUAGGCUGCUAGAGCUCAGCGGCAACGUUGAGUCGAGAUGGAUGGCCAUCCGCAUUGGCAACAAUGCGACAGAACCCGGGGUAUAAGGGAUCUCAACAU